RNAcentral lists this ribosomal RNA (119 nucleotides) under Pteropus alecto (black flying fox). Lineage: Eukaryota; Metazoa; Chordata; Mammalia; Chiroptera; Pteropodidae. The record is from RNAcentral.
GUCCACGGCCAUGCCACCCUGAACAAGCCCGAUCCCAUCUGAUCUCAGAAGUUAUGCAAGGUCAAGCCUGGUUAGUACUUGGAUUGGAGACCACCUAGGAAGACCAGGUGUUAUAGGCG